RNAcentral lists this ribosomal RNA (468 nucleotides) under uncultured bacterium. RNAcentral's name for it is "partial 16S ribosomal RNA". It matches the Rfam family "Bacterial small subunit ribosomal RNA", at positions 28 to 507 of the family's 1533-position model. The record is from RNAcentral.
GACGAACGCUGGCGGCGUGCUUAACACAUGCAAGUCGAACGGAAAGGCCCUGCUUUUGUGGGGUGCUCGAGUGGCGAACGGGUGAGUAACACGUGAGUAACCUGCCCUUGACUUUGGGAUAACUUCAGGAAACUGGGGCUAAUACCGGAUAGGAGCUCCUGCUGCAUGGUGGGGGUUCGAAAGUUUCGGCGGUUGGGGAUGGACUCGCGGCUUAUCAGCUUGUUGGUGGGGUAGUGGCUUACCAAGGCUUUGACGGGUAGCCGGCCUGAGAGGGUGACCGGCCACAUUGGGACUGAGAUACGGCCCAGACUCCUACGGGAGGCAGCAGUGGGGAAUAUUGCACAAUGGGCGGAAGCCUGAUGCAGCAACGCCGCGUGCGGGAUGACGGCCUUCGGGUUGUAAACCGCUUUCGCCUGUGACGAAGCGUGAGUGACGGUAAUGGGUAAAGAAGCACCGGCUAACUACGUG